Molecule: unclassified non-coding RNA, 173 nt
Organism: Vulpes vulpes (red fox)
Lineage: Eukaryota; Metazoa; Chordata; Mammalia; Carnivora; Canidae
Source: Ensembl
UGCCUGUGCCUUUCAAUGGGUGUGGUGCUAAGUAUAUCUUGUUUACCUUAUCUUUCUGUGGAAAAAGUUUUGAAGUCUGGUUGGGUUUGUCACAUCGUGCGUGUUGCCUAGCACCUACCAAAAGUGUCCUUAUCUAGCAGCCGGGGCUGAAUAGGUGGAGGUCGUGGCUUGGC